RNAcentral lists this ribosomal RNA (595 nucleotides) under Nigrospora sp. E34. RNAcentral's name for it is "eukaryotic LSU rRNA". The stretch from base 170 to 323 matches the Rfam family "5.8S ribosomal RNA". The record is from RNAcentral. Lineage: Eukaryota; Fungi; Ascomycota; Sordariomycetes; Amphisphaeriales; Apiosporaceae.
GUGAACCAGCGGAGGGAUCAUUACAGAGUUAUCCAACUCCCAAACCCAUGUGAACUUAUCUCUUGUUGCCUCGGCGCAAGUAUCCCGGACCCAGCGCCCCGGGGCCCGCGGCGGACAAACCAACUCUGUUAUCUUAGUUGAUUAUCUGAGCGUCUUAUUUAAUAAGUCAAACUUUCAACAACGGAUCUCUUGGUUCUGGCAUCGAUGAAGAACGCAGCGAAAUGCGAUAAGUAAUGUGAAUUGCAGAAUUCAGUGAAUCAUCGAAUCUAUGAACGCACAUUGCGCCCAUUAGUAUUCUAGUGGGCAUGCCUGUUCGAGCGUCAUUUCAACCCCUAAGCACAGCUUAUUGUUGGGACUCUACGGCCUCCGUAGUGCCCCAAAGCGAUUGGCGGAGUGGCAGUAGUCCUCUGAGCGUAGUAAUUCUUUAUCUCGCUUUGUUAGGUGCUGCCCCCCCGGCCGUUAAACCCCCCAAUUUUUUCUGGUUGACCUCGGUCAGGUAGGAAUACCCGCUGAACUUAAGCAUAUCAAUAAGCGGAGGAAAAGAAACCAACAGGGAUUCCCCUAGUAACGGCGAGUGAAGCGGGAACAGCUCAAA